AACGAACGCUGGCGGCAGGCCUAACACAUGCAAGUCGAGCGAAGCCUUCGGGCUUAGCGGCGGACGGGUGAGUAACGCGUGGGAACGUGCCCUUUGCUACGGAAUAGCCCCGGGAAACUGGGAGUAAUACCGUAUAAGCUCUACGGAGGAAAGAUUUAUCGGCAAAGGAUCGGCCCGCGUUGGAUUAGGUAGUUGGUGGGGUAAUGGCCUACCAAGCCGACGAUCCAUAGCUGGUUUGAGAGGAUGAUCAGCCACACUGGGACUGAGACACGGCCCAGACUCCUACGGGAGGCAGCAGUGGGGAAUCUUAGACAAUGGGCGCAAGCCUGAUCUAGCCAUGCCGCGUGAUCGAUGAAGGCCUUAGGGUUGUAAAGAUCUUUCAGGUGGGAAGAUAAUGACUGUACCACCAGAAGAAGCCCCGGCUAACUCCGUG
Molecule: ribosomal RNA, 433 nt
Filed under: uncultured organism
Description: bacterial SSU rRNA
Rfam family: Bacterial small subunit ribosomal RNA
Source: RNAcentral